CAGCAAAGCACCGAAGCACACGCAUCACCUAAAGCGCAUGCGUCGGUGCUGCUCAGA
Molecule: microRNA precursor, 57 nt
Filed under: Chrysemys picta bellii (western painted turtle)
Lineage: Eukaryota; Metazoa; Chordata; Testudines; Emydidae
Description: Cpi-Mir-9587_pre stem-loop
Source: RNAcentral